Molecule: ribosomal RNA, 473 nt
Filed under: uncultured Thauera sp.
Lineage: Bacteria; Pseudomonadati; Pseudomonadota; Betaproteobacteria; Rhodocyclales; Zoogloeaceae
Description: bacterial SSU rRNA
Rfam family: Bacterial small subunit ribosomal RNA
Source: RNAcentral
AACGCUGGCGGCAUGCUUUACACAUGCAAGUCGAACGGCAGCGCGGGCUUCGGCCUGCGAUCGGCGAGUGGCGAACGGGUGAGUAAUACAACGGAACGUGCCCAAGUCGUGGGGGAUAACACAUCGAAAGAUGUGCUAAUACCGCAUACGUCCUGAGGGAGAAAGCGGGGGAUCCUUCGGAUUCCUCCGCGCGAUUGGAGCGGCCGAUGUCAGAUUAACUAGUAAGUGAGGUAGAGGCUCACCUAGGCGACGAUCUGUAUCGGGACUGAGAGGAUCGAUCCAGCCACACUGGGACUGAGACAAGGCCCAGACUCCUACGGGAGACAGCAGUGGGGAAUUUUGGACAAUGGGGGCAACCCUGAUCCAGCCAUGCCGCGUGAGUGAAGAAGGCCUUCGGGUUGUAAAGCUCUUUCGGCCGGGAAGAAAUCGCAUUCUCUAACAUAGGAUGUGGAUGACGGUACCGGACUAAGAAG